Molecule: long non-coding RNA, 813 nt
Filed under: Capsicum annuum
Lineage: Eukaryota; Viridiplantae; Streptophyta; Magnoliopsida; Solanales; Solanaceae
Description: long non-coding RNA (CANN_LNC001255)
Source: RNAcentral
UUUUCUCUAGAUUAAAAAAUACUCUACAUAAGGCGCAUAAGAAAUUGUGCUGAGACUGUAAUGAUGUGAAACUAUAUCGACAACAGUAGAUAAAAUUUAUAGUAUAGGUGUUCAUAUCUCACAUACAUGAUUUUCCAUCAAAUAACUUUAGGCAAGGUUUAAAUCCUAGUGAAUCCAGUUAUUUGUUUCCUCUAUGACUUAGCUGACAGUUAUGUGCCUUUCAUAAAUUUGAAGAACAUCACUGAAUAGACUUAUAUUUAAGAGGAUGGUACAAACUUAUAGACUCUGAAUACCUUUUCAAUGGACAAAAUUCUGGAGUACUUCAUCUCAAAGUGAUAUACUUGCAGGUUGAAUCCUUUGUAUUGAAAGAGAAAAUAUUAAAGCUUACAAAAUUAUUCAAACUACUGUGGAAGGCUGGUAGUCUUCCUAAAUUUGAUAAGGUACGCAUCACAGUUUAGUGCAUCGGACUACCCUUUUUUAUCUUGACGAAAAAUAUAUAUCUGCAACAUGUUCCCAAAUGAUCUUGACGAGAUAUUUAAAAAGAAGGAGAUAAUAUUUUUCCACCCAGUAAAAGAGAGUAGCAUAGAACUAUUUGAUUUUAUUCAUUCUCAACUUAUUUCUCUAAGGUAAUAACAUACCUUGACAAACCAUUAUUUACCUUCAGACCUUCAGUGCAGCGGCAUAGGUUAACAAUCGAUCUAUGAGAAGUUGAAAAAAUCUACACUGAGCACAUUCACGCAGAUGCGGAGAUACGUUACAGUCUAGAAGGAACAAGAAUGACCACUGGAUUCGGAUCUAGAUCAAGGCUGACGA